Mercurialis annua (annual mercury) is the source of this 473-nucleotide long non-coding RNA. RefSeq lists it as uncharacterized. The transcript is spliced from 3 exons. The record is from RefSeq and is a predicted model, not a curated record. NCBI's taxonomy places the organism in Eukaryota, Viridiplantae, Streptophyta, Magnoliopsida, Malpighiales, Euphorbiaceae.
GUAACUCUUCUUCUUCUCCAUUUUUUUCUCUAAAACCGUACCCACCCACACUACCACCUUCAACUCCAUUUUUCUUCACUUUUGAACCAAACUAAAGAUGUGACGGCAAGUCUACUAUAGACGGAUCAAAUUGAAGGAGCACCGGUUGGAGUAGACCGAGUGGUUAAUAGUGGAUCGUCAUGGCGUAUUUAAUUGUGGAGGACAGUCUGUAUAUUGUCUGUAUUUGAACGAGACUUCAUCUUUUUGAUUCUUGAAGUCUUCAUGUUGCGUAUAUGGUAUUUGGUCUUAUUUUGAUAUGUAGAGCUGCAGUAGAAUAAAUAGACAGAUGCCUUAGCAUGUUAGUAUUUGCGAUGUUUGCCACGCAUGAACUCUGUUUUGUUUUCAUCGCACGAUUAUAAUAUAUUUUAACGAUAUGCAUUAAAGUAUUGGAACAUAGUUGCAACCCGGGUACACGGUAGUACCGGGAGUUUUGA